This 158-nucleotide ribosomal RNA is filed under the name Jattaea mookgoponga. RNAcentral describes it as "5.8S ribosomal RNA". It matches the Rfam family "5.8S ribosomal RNA". Rfam says of the family: 5.8S ribosomal RNA (5.8S rRNA) is a component of the large subunit of the eukaryotic ribosome. It is transcribed by RNA polymerase I as part of the 45S precursor that also contains 18S and 28S rRNA. RNAcentral also lists the same sequence under 4 other names. The record is from RNAcentral. Lineage: Eukaryota; Fungi; Ascomycota; Sordariomycetes; Calosphaeriales; Calosphaeriaceae.
AAACUUUCAACAACGGAUCUCUUGGUUCUGGCAUCGAUGAAGAACGUAGCGAAAUGCGAUAAGUAAUGUGAAUUGCAGAAUUCAGUGAAUCAUCGAAUCUUUGAACGCACAUUGCGCCCGCCAGUAUUCUGGCGGGCAUGCCUGUCCGAGCGUCAUUU